GGCGGACGGGUGAGUAAUGCGUAGGAAUUUACCUCAAAGCGGGGGAUAGCCCGGAGAAAUCCGGACUAAUACCGCAUGUGCUCUACGGAGUAAAGCGGGCCUCUUCUUGAAAGCUCGCACUUUGAGAUAAGCCUACGUCGGAUUAGCUUGUUGGUAGGGUAAAAGCCUACCAAGGCGACGAUCCGUAGCUGGUUUGAGAGGAUGAUCAGCCACACUGGGACUGAGACACGGCCCAG
Molecule: ribosomal RNA, 236 nt
Filed under: uncultured bacterium
Lineage: Bacteria
Description: partial 16S ribosomal RNA
Rfam family: Bacterial small subunit ribosomal RNA
Source: RNAcentral